Molecule: long non-coding RNA, 4518 nt
Organism: Bubalus bubalis (water buffalo)
Lineage: Eukaryota; Metazoa; Chordata; Mammalia; Artiodactyla; Bovidae
Exons: 3
Source: RefSeq, a predicted model, not a curated record
GGGCUUUGAAUUUCUGUUUUCCAGAAGGUUCCUCUCCCACUUCCUACUGCCCGUGGGACAGAGUUCAUCCAGCCUCCCAGGUCCCUGUCAUAGGCUGAGCCUUCUCGAGGAGUGUCCCCGUGGGGCACUGUGGACCUCUCAGCCCAUGCCUCUGGGGCACAGAGUUCUGCCUCUCCGGCCAGUUUCCCUGCGGUUGGCGCUGGCUGUGAGACACUGCCGGGCUCCUUCUAGUGGCCUCUGAACAAACCACAGAGCCCCCGGCCCCUCCUGUCUGCAGGCUUCCUGCCACUGAAUUUGCCCUGCAUUGGGAGGAGGGGGAAGGGGGGCCUGAGUGGGUGGCAUGAUGACAGGUGAGCCUCGGGGUUCCGUGCCACCUGCUUGCAGCUCCACUUCUGCCGCUUGUUGAGCCAUUGAGCCCCGUUGUGUUGCAGGUGAAAUGGUGAGGCAGAGUGGGGCUCCAUCCGCUAAAGAUUCCAGAUCUUUCAGGGGGCUUUGUCCUCCUGACUUCUCUCCAGCCUGCUCCCUUCCGCAGGGCACAGCAUCCAACAUGCUGAACGUGCCUGAGUUUGCCUAGUACCUAGCAGGACACUGGGAGCAUGUCUGUUUUUUCACGGGAGCUGGGGGUGGUAUGUCCUGGGCUCUAAAUGCAGCAUGAGGCUUGGAGGCCCCUGGCAGAGCCGUGGAAGAGUGGUCGUUGGCAAGACUGGCAUUUCUGUCACCUGACUGGAGGAGACCCUCUGGCAGGGCUUGGACUCAGCUGAGCAGAAAGAUGAGCAGUUGACUUGGGAUGUGAUUUUACAUUCCUGGCAAAGUAACACCACAUUUGUUUUAAAGAGGAGGAAAGAACAAAAUCAAACUGUUAGUUAACAUUUCAAAGAGGUUAAAAGAGCCACUUGGGUUCCUCUCCUGGCCAGUUCUAUGGUGGGGGGAUGCCAAGGGCUUCUCUUGCUGGCGGAGAAUUGUGGGGUGUCUCUCUGCUUCCGGGGUCCCAGCCUCUGAUCCGUUUAGGAGACGGUUCCGGGGAUUCACACUUGUCUUUGGAAAGCUUGAUCUUCUCCAAGUUUCUCAUAUCCCUUCUGUAUUUCUUUCCCAUGCAGAUUCUCUUGCUGGCUCUUUUUGCUGUUGUUUUCAGAAGUUAAUAUUCACAAGCUUUGAUUUCUAGACCCAGUUCUGGACUUUACAGAAGCGAGAAUCAACAGGCUCAAAACUUGGCUUCGUUACUCAUUUGACUCAAACGUGUUCAGGGCAACACCCCUGAGCCACAGCCAGAAACAAACGUCCCCAAAGUGGGGCUCUUGCCUGGAAUCUCACCACUCAACCAGGAGACCUGAGCGCACUUAGCAAAAUGGGCAAAGUGAGGAGGAGCAGGAGGGGAUAGGAUGUGACUGAGCCGUACAGCCUCCAGCAUCUUGCUCCUGGAUGGACUGGAUCCUACAGGGAGACUCUGGAGCUGAACUUCAAAGUAAAUAGAAAUCGAUUGGAUUUAGACUCAUGGGCUCACAGACCAUCCCACCUGAAAGAAAACUUAGAAACCAUCACAGUCUUGACUCAAGUGCCAUCUUCAAUGGAUUGGUUGUGCCUGACUGGGUUUUACAUCUGGACUCUGAAAGGUGCUGUGAGGGAUUGAUGAUGCCUGUCUGGGUGUGGUAAGGGAAAGUACCAGCCUAUAAUCUGAUGAUCUGAUGAUUCUGUCUCUUCCAGGUACCUGCUCUGCGUUUUACAAACGAGGAAACUGAGUCACACACAUAGCAUACUAAGUUGUCUAAAGCCAGGACAUUAUAGGAAGCCAGGGCAGAUUUGAAGAUAGAGUUUAGGUUGUCAGACCUUUCCUAUCAAUGACAAUGAUUUCUCUUCUGGUUGGAGUUCAGUCUCCUAUGACGUUGUCAAAGUCGGCUUGCUGGUUUACAUCCUGUGGAUUCUAUGCUCAGCCACUUCUGUACAUUCCAGCAGGGUCUUGUGGGUGCCUGUGGAGCAAUAUUCAUAGAAGACUUUCACAAUCAGAAUUCUGAUGCCCUCAGGCAGUCUAGGGGGUCCCGGGCCUGAGAGCUCACCCAUUAAGAGGGGACCUUUUAUCAAACCACAACUGGAAAACUUCAGAAACUGCUGUCCCAAAUGAAACAUACUCGAGUUCACUUCAAGUGGGCAGAAAACAAACAUCCAGGAGACCCUGGCCCAAAUGCUUAAAGCUCAUCACACUUGAGACGUGAAACUGGGUCCAAAUCUAGACCUGGCAUGACUCAUGGGAGCUUGCUACGGAAAAGGGGAGACAGAAGGUCUUCAGCCUUCCUGUGAACACCAGCUCCUUAAUUUUACAUUUAAAUUCUUUUUUUCUUUUGGCUGAACUACGAGGCAUAUGGGAUCUCAGUUCCCAGACAGAUCUCACGUGGCCUUGGCCAGCAACGUCUUGGAGCAGGGCUUGGGUUCCCAGCCAGAGAUUGGCCUGGGUUUCAGCAGUCAAAGCACCAGAUCCUAGCCACUGGACCAGUGGUCAGUGACAAGUACCUUGGUCCUUUGGUUUUGCAGAAAAGAAUUUCCACAAAGAUGGAAAGUAGUGAAGCAAGUAAAAUGUUUAUUAAGAGGAAAAAGUACAGUAGGUGUGGAUAGACACACGGGCAGACUCAGGACAGUCCCUGCGUCGCUAAGUCGCACCCUCGUGGCAGGUUGAAUUGCUUUUAUGGGGCAUUUCUUCUGGGUUUCCUUUGGCCAGUCAUUCUAAUUUGCCUGGUUCACACUCCAUAUAUGGUAUAUCUCAGAAUCUCUCCAUGUGUGUGUACACAUCUCUUAGCCAAAAUGGGUCUUAUGGAAGAGGUGUAUGGGUAGAGUAUCCCUUGACAUGACUUCCCUUUGACCUACAAGGAGCCUUUUCUAUGCAUGUGUGGUCGGGAGGUCUCCUGACUUCCAAACGAGAAAUAUGUGGCCUGGGCAGGGUUCAGUGUCCUCCCUUAAUUGUCCAGCUGUUCUCAUCUUGGAGUUUCGGUCAAGAGAGAAUCAAUCUCCAAUUGCUUUACCCUGGGGGGUGCCCAUCUGCCUCCUGCCUGAAGACCAGGGAUCAAAACCACCCCCUGCAUUGCAAGUGUGGAGUCUUAACCACUGGACCACCAGGGGAAUUCCUAGUACCUUAUUUACUAGCACCCAUUCUGUUUAAGAGACCUGGGUUCAAUUUCUGGGUGGGGAAGAGCCCCUGGAGAAGGCAAUGGCAACCUCCUCCAGUAUUCUUGCCUCGAGAAUCCCAUGGACAGAGGAGCCUGGCAGUAUACAGCCACUAAACCACCGCCACCAUUCUGUUUAAAUGUCCUAACAGGCAAAAUGCACUCCUAGAAUUAGCAGGAGGGGGCGCGCUCAAGGAUGGUGAAGACCCUCAGAAGCACUCAGCUCCAGGAUCUGGAGUGGCCGCCUGCAAACACUAGCUCAGCAAGCCCCUGGGACACUGGCCUUCCUCCUGGGCCAGCAGCCCCCAGCGAUAAGGAUCACAAGACUGAUGCUCUGGGGGGGAGGCAGUUCUGGACUGGGGCCCAUUCCCAGGACCGUCGUCAGCGGCCUUAGUAAUGGGACAGCAUCCUGUUUUAUUAAAAGCCUGUUGCUAGCCAGGAAAACUGUCUGUCUGCUGUGUGGGCAGGGGCCCAAUAUUGCUGCGGGCAAUUCCAAGUCAGUCCUUUGAGUUGACAUCAAACCAGGAAAGAACAGGACUAUUUUUCAGUUGAUGAAGCAGUACUUUUCUUUCUUUUUUCAAGCGGUUCUCUCUCGUGUUGCACCGUGCACAUUUUGUCUGCGCCGGACGCACGCGAAUCUUCAAGCCGGCUGCGGUUGGAGUCCACCUCCCCUCCCCCUCCUGCCGCUCUCCCACUCCUCCUUCCUCUCCCCUCCCCCAGAGCCCCACCCUGGCCUCCCUGGCCUUCCCAGCCCCCAGCCCCCUGGUAGACACCCUGAGCGGAGGGAGGCCCAGACGUGGCCUGAGGCUAUUUACAGGGUGGGGGUGGGGAGGGGAGGGAAACCGACUGCUUUGUGUAUCUUCGGAGUCUGGAAACUCGACAGAAUUCCUCCAUUUCCAAGGAAGCUCUCAUUUGCAGGUUUCCAAAAAUAAAAAAUAAAAGGAGACGCACUUCAAAAGGAACCAGAGGAAAAGCUGUUUUCUCUGUGAGCCGAUUUGUUUAUUAUUAUUUUAUUCUUUAGCAUUAGAUUUGUUGAAGGUAGGCGAGAACUGUCAUUUUUUUCCCCUGUAUUUUUAUUUUGCUUUCUUUUUUUUUUUUUUUUUUUUUUGCCUUAUCAGUGUAGAGGGCAAAUAAUAUUUGAAGAGAUGGCCAUGAAAUACUCAUUUCAUACAUGUCUGUGGGAAACAGGUUUUGUGUAAACUUUUGUAUUCAGAUUUUCAGCUGAGGUUAUGGAUGACUGGAAUCUCCCUUCAGGUUGUAAAUUAAAAUCGCUCAAAUGGUGUCACUUUUACAAAUGAAAAGAAAUUAAAUGUGCUUCAACACAGAUUUUUAAAAUAAUUUCAAGAAAGUUAUAAAAGCAGUUUCAAUA